Long non-coding RNA from Pomacea canaliculata, 1220 nucleotides. RefSeq lists it as uncharacterized. The transcript has 4 exons. The record is from RefSeq and is a predicted model, not a curated record. Lineage: Eukaryota; Metazoa; Mollusca; Gastropoda; Architaenioglossa; Ampullariidae.
AAUAGGCAAAACAUUCAAUUUUACAGUCUACAUUUGCUUCGAGGAUAAUGAAGCGAGAUAUGGUUCUUAGUAUCCUCACUUUUUUCAUCUGAAUGAUAAUUCUGUAGCAGUACCACAGGAGCAACCUGGUUAUGACCCGCUUCAUAAACUGAGACCAUUCAUGGACCACUUGAACCAUGCCUCUCAGAAUACAUACAUCCUUGACCCGCACAUUAGCAUUGACGAGGGCACGAGGCCAUGUGUCCAUGGAGGGGCCGGCUAAGCUUCAAGGUGUACAUGAGGACAAGCCCAUCAAGUGAGGAAUCAUGCUAUACGAGUAUGCCAAAAAAAAGUCUAGGAAGGACCUGGUGAUGUUGGCAGAGGGAUCGUACAUGAAGCCGACGGUGUGUUUUGGAGCAGAGAUAACAAACAUUCCUCCAACCAGAAUGACACAGCAGACGACAACAAUGGCGGUCAUGGUGGACGUCUUCAGCAGCCGCUUUGCGUGGAGGGGACUGACGACACAGAAACAGCGCUCACAGGCGAUGACAGCCGACAGCAACUGAGAGGCCCACUCGGCGCUGGUAAAGCCUAAAUCAGUAACGAUACAGUGUCCUCUGAUGUUUAUAACUCUUUAACUGCAUAAAGCACGCCUAGUCGUAAAUCAUUAUUUCUUACGAAGAUGAAUUAUAUAUCGAAAUAUAUAUUAGACUGUAAUGGACAGUAAGAUCGAGCGCAACUCACAAAAAAGAAGGAAUUUCUAUGAAAUCAAAUGGCGUUGACAUAAAACAUUUCUAAAACUCCAUCACAAAAAACGCGAUGAAAAAGAAUUGUCAACACUCACUCCCCGAAUAGGCUGUUAUGAACCAGGUGUCUGGACUGAUAUGUUUUCUCACUCGGUCCACGACAUUCAUAAGAAGCAAGAUGACGACGUUGACGAGGUCAGCCAGCGCCAGGAUGAAAAGACAGACAUUGAUUCUCUCUCCAAGACCCUGUCUGUAGAACACCAUGGCGCUCAGCACGUUGCCGGGGAUUCCCAGGAACAGAAGAAACGGAAUCAUGAGCCAGCAGAUGACCGCCAUGAGGAUCUCAUAAAUCUUGAUAAGACAAAAGAAGAUGUCGGUGUGUGAAGCCCAAGAGGAAGUCUCAACAUCUGACGCCCAUGAAAGCCCGACAAAAUCACGCCAUGAUCAGGCCAGCGUGUCUCUUCCAUGGUGACAGUGCCAUAGAAACCAUUCGAC